RNAcentral lists this ribosomal RNA (253 nucleotides) under uncultured bacterium. RNAcentral describes it as "partial 16S ribosomal RNA". It matches the Rfam family "Bacterial small subunit ribosomal RNA", at positions 57 to 305 of the family's 1533-position model. The record is from RNAcentral.
GCAAGUCGAGGGGUAACAGGAAGUGCUUGCACUUCGCUGACGACCGGCGCACGGGUGCGUAACGCGUAUACAAUUUACCUUGUACAGGGGAAUAGCCUUUAGAAAUGAAGAUUAAUGCCCCAUAGUCUAUUUAGAUCACCUGAUUUAGAUAGUAAAGAUUUAUCGGUACAAGAUGAGUAUGCGUUCUAUUAGAUAGUUGGUAAGGUAACGGCUUACCAAGUCAGCGAUAGAUAGGGGGCCUGAGAGGGAGAGC